This 474-nucleotide ribosomal RNA is filed under the name Triticum aestivum (bread wheat). Its description in RNAcentral is "partial small subunit ribosomal RNA". Lineage: Eukaryota; Viridiplantae; Streptophyta; Magnoliopsida; Poales; Poaceae. The record is from RNAcentral.
AUGGCACAAGUGUGGCGGAUCCCUAACCUGGAAGCAGUUCGUAAUACAGGUCAUGAAUGGGUUCUUCAUCUCAUUGCGAGCUGCGAUGAGGGAGAUAGACUGCGGCUACUCAUGUUGUUAUGGCGCUGUUGGUUCGUGCGAAAUGAAAUAGCACAUGACAAACCAGCACCACCAAUUGAUGUCUCCCGAGAGUUCCUACAAAGCUAUGUAACUUCCAUCUUGGGCAUCCAGCAGUACCCAGCAGGGGAUUGGGACAAGGGGAAGAUGGUGAUCCAGCAAGAGGGUGCUGAACAGCUCAUAUCACAUGUGCAGAACAAACUAAAGCCGGCCUGCAAGUGGAGUCCCCCACCGGUUCGGGAAUGGUGCUGCGGGACCACAAUGGCGACAUCAUUUGUUCGGCUUGCAGAUCCUUGUGGUCGUGCCCGGAUGCCCUUCAUGCAGAGCUUGCAGGAUGCAUGGAAGGGCUGGCUCUAG